CAACGUGUACGGGCGGACCACUGGAGGGAUGCCUGUGCCGGGCUAGAUCUUCAGGAUACCUCCAAAGCCUGGCGUCUUCUUUGCAAUCUUGAGGCCAAAGAUUCGGCGCGUACAGCCACCCCAUUAUUGUCACCCAGUAGGGAUCGAGUGGCAAAAGAUCAAAAAAUGGCCGACUUGCUUAACAACUAUUUCGCUUCGAUAAGCAAGUCCGAAAAGAAGACAGCCACGUCUAUAGCCCUCAACAAGGAGCGUAAAAGACUCGAGAGGGAGCCGGAUGGAUCGGAAGAGGACAGAUGAAAUGCAAAUGCUAAAUGCAAAAACAGAAAA
Biomphalaria pfeifferi is the source of this 327-nucleotide non-coding RNA. The record is from the annotation of a GenBank genome assembly. NCBI's taxonomy places the organism in Eukaryota, Metazoa, Mollusca, Gastropoda, Planorbidae.